Molecule: long non-coding RNA, 5877 nt
Organism: Chelonia mydas (Green sea turtle)
Lineage: Eukaryota; Metazoa; Chordata; Testudines; Cheloniidae
Exons: 3
Source: RefSeq, a predicted model, not a curated record
UAAGGUGGAACAGAGUUAUUUUUAAUAUCGGUUUUGCAGAAACUUCCAGAUUAAAACAGCAGAUGGAGUUCAGUGCUAGCAACUCUCUGCAAUACUGUUUCAACACAUCCGUGGCAUCUACUAUAAGAAAAGCUGACUCGAAACGUGCAAUCAAUUUUACUCACAAAAGGCACCACAGAAGAGGGUUGCGGUGCAUUGAAGUUUGACAACCCCUGCUCUAGAAUAUCCUAUCACAGUUGCUGCCCUUGACAACCAGAUGAAAGUGCUGAAAGAAGAUUAAAACCAUAUGAUCUUGUCCAUGUCAUUCUGAGACCAGCUUACUACAGCACAAUAUAUUAUUCCAGUAGUGAUCUUAAGAAAGAAGGAAAAACAAGUAGAAAGACAACUGGGGCUUGGGAGAAGUAUUAUCUUUACUUUUCCUCCCCCCAUUCUUCACCCCAAUGAGUAUAUAAUGCUUUACCUCACAAUAAAAAGAAAAGUGUCCAACUCAUAAACAAUGAACAUGUUAUUUAUUACAUUUCUCAUUACUAACAUUUGUUUUCCAUUAGAAAUGUACUUGUCAUAAGGCACCCCCUGCCUGAAGUGCCCUCUGCUUGCAGGCUUCAGGGUGACAGGUGUGCCUGCCUCAGUUUCCCCUCUGAGAUUUUCCUGAAACAAUCCAAGCAGUCUUUCUCAGUGCAAAUAACCCUUAUGGAGUUAAUUUAUUACAGAAAAAACCCUACGCACAUAACAAAUCCCUUCACCAUAAUCCAGGGAAUACAUCAAAUACAGCCUCAGCUUUCCAACACAGCCUCCUCUAGCCCUCCGGCUCCAGUUCUCUAGCUUUGAAACAUAGCAGGUAUCUCCAUCUGCUGCUCUGAGUCUUCAGCCCUCUCUAUCCUUAGCUCAGAAAGGACAGCUGGCUAGCACCUCAACUGGCUUUCAAAUAAUCCCUCCCCUCUUCCCAGGGAAGGAUUGCAGAGAGUUUUCUGCUCUCUGCAGCCCUCCCCAGAGACCCCAUCCAGCAGUUUCCUCACUGACUCUUUCACCAGAACUCUCUUUCCUGACUCCCUUCAGGGACCUUCCCGCUCUCAAUUUUCCCCUGAUGCUUUAUAGGCCCCAGGUCCUGCUAUACCUUCUUAAUGGGCCAAACUGGCAGCAACUAUUCAGGCACCAGGGAACCUGGACCUGCUUCAUUUAAAGGAGUCAGUCACUCUCUGACACUGUUUUCAUUUGGUCAUGACUUACCAACAUUUCACCUUUUCCACAGAAAUUUUCCAUACUCUGAUCUGUUCAAAAUCAAUUUUUAAAAAGUUUAAGCAACAACCAACAGCACAUUUGAGCUGACAGGGUUGAAAUGGUUUUCUACCACUGUAAAACACUGUUGCAAUCUUUUUCUCCAGAAGGGAAACUCAGAAGACUGAACUCUGAAACUUGAUAUGUACACAAUCUAUAAUAAAAGUAGUACAUGGCUUUCCAAAAAUAUUAACAGUUUAGCUAGUUAACAAAGUUGGUAAUGUCUAUGUGCCUGGACAGGCUCUGAGAACCUUCACUAGUCACAGGCACUGCAGAACUUAAAAUCCCCUUCUACUCUCUGGCUACUCCUACCCUGCACAUUAGAAUUUUUUGUUAUGCGGUUUCUUUAAAAAGUCAGUCAACAGUGAGGCAAUAUACUUUUUAUGACAGUUCGCAGUCCCUUACUCAUUACCUUUCAACUGAAAACUGAUCAAGGAAUUUUACUCAAAUUCUCAAAAAAAAAUCUGGACAGUCCAAACAUGGAAAAAUGUGGAGACCACUAGGAAAUGCUAAAGACAGGUAUAAGUAUUUGGAAACAGGAGGUCACAAUAGAAACUCUAUGUGCUAUCUGCAUCCUCGAUAAUAAAAUACUGUAAAACUGUAUCCAAAGGAGGAAAUAUGUUUAGAUAUAUAGUAUAUCCACAGUCAACACGACUGUUUAUAGUUUUUUUAAUAAAUGUAUUUCUAUAAAGCAAGUUUUAGUUACUAAGGCAACAGCCCACAAGCUGAAGGUAAAUUCUACCUCAGAAUUCUUUUGCUUCUGCAGCAGUCCACCACUGAAUUCAGUGACAGACUGGAAAUUAGGCUUCAAAUCUUCCUUAAUAAGGAAGAUUAUACCAAAUUUAAUAUCUGACUAACGUAAAGUAUAACUGUGUUAUUUUGAUGUGUCAACACUACGCUGCCCUACCUGCAAUUUUCAGUGUUUCACGAAUGUUAGUGUUGACAACAUAAAUGCAUCUUAUAUAACUACUCAAUUCCCUCCAUGACAAAUUCAGAUUCUACAUGAAACAAGCUUAAGUAUUAAAAGCUUAUGUUUAAUUUGACUUUUCAAAUUACUGCUCUAAUAGACAACCAAAGUGACCAGAUUACAAAAGUAAGUCCAUUUGCCAGAAAAACCUUAGAUCAUCACCAGCAUUCUGAUGGGACAGCGGCAAUCUGUCUAUUAGCUGCAGCCCAAUGCAAUUAAGAACUUUAUAUGCUGUAAUUAACAUGCAGACUAGCACUUGAAAGCAAAUAUGUAGCUAAUGUAGAGCAUGAGGCACUCAUGUUUGUGUUCACAGCAGGAAAUUGUACUUGAGAUUAGUUGUGCAUUAUUCAGCCAAACUUUACAGGUGGUUUUCAAGCAUAGCUCCCCAACCCGCCUUCUACUUGUAAAUUUAAAGCUAAAUUAUUGCAUAAUGUGACAAAGACAUGAAUUACAAUGGCAAGGUCUGCAAAGUAAUUCUCUCAAAUUGACUGCUUGUACAUGAAGAAGUUCUUAUUUUGUAUAGUAUUAAAUCAAAGUUCAGAGCUUUCCCUCUGCAAUGACCACUGUCAUACUUUCUGUCCCUUUCAUGUUAACAUUUUCACCCUGAUAUAGUUUACCAACGUAAACAAGGUUAUAUAGGGCUGCAGGUUCAGGCAGCAGCCCACCAGCAUGAGCUUCUUUUAUCUACUUUUGUGGCCCUCAGUUUAGUCCCACCAUACCAAAAGAAUUCUGGUGAAUGGAACAAUAGGGCAGGGGGAGAUCAGAGCUACAAGACAAGGGAGUGAAAGCAAGUCAUGUGAAAGAACAGAGGAAAAAAUAUUUUUAAAGUGACAACAGAAAAAAAAAGAAAAAAAGAAAAACCGACAAAAAAUCUGAGCAGCUACAGCUAUAAUGGAAGGAUAUAAUACAAGGAACCUGGAGUCAGUAAAAGGGGCAAUGUGUCAAUCCAUCCCAAAAGGGGCCUGGACAAACACAAUUAGGAACAAUUGACAAGAAUGCCCUGGUACACAGACCAACAGUACACUAAUGACUCCACAGUUAUUGAUUGUUAUGUAUCUUUGCUACAUCUGAAAGCUGUUACGGGACAUAGACCAAUAAAUUCCAGAAAGUUUAACGUCCAAAAAUCAUGCAUUUCUUCAAAGAGUCUAAAUUUACAUUCAUAAGAACAGGAUAUUAAUUCAGGAGUCUUGACCAAAUUCAACUCACAUAAUUACAUUCUACCUACCUAAAAUUUCCCCUAUAAUUUCAUUUGGAAAAAUGUAUUUUUUACUUCCUGUCCUACAUUUCCUAACUUGUUGAGGAGGGCCACUGAGCACUGCUAACUGAAACUUUUCAUCUCAGAGAUGCUUGUGUUCCAGAGGUGGAUGAAGUGAUUUUUCUGCAUAGUUGCCUAUCAGUUUCAAAAUGUAAAGUGCUUUGGGACGAAAGUACUAAAUAUAAAUGGAAGAUCUUUAUUAAAAGAAAUUUAAGUCUAUCAUAUGUGAAAAAGUUCCUCCUCUACCUUGGUGGGUCUUGCGCUUAUUGGCAGAUUUGCUCACCUUGGAGCUUCACAGCGGCCCUCAGUUUGGCCGUUUUCGUGAACCCACAGUCCAGGACAACUCCUCCUGUGUCUCACCAGAAGUUAGGAGGUUUGGGGGGAACCUGGGCCCGCCCUCUACUUCGGGUUCCAGCUCAGGGCCCUGUGGAAUGUAGCUGUCUAGAGUGCCUCCUGGAAUAGCUGUGCGACAGCUAAAACUCCCUGGGCUACCUCCCCAUGGCCUCCUCCCAACAACUUCUUUAUCCUCACCAUAGGACCUUCCUCCUGGUGUCUGAUAAUGCUUGUACUCCUCAGUUCUCCAACAGUAGGCGUUCUCACUCUCCGCUCCUAGCGCCUCUUGCUCUCCGCUCCUCACACGCGCACCACAAACUGAAGUGAGCUCCUUUUUAAACCCAGGUGCCCUGAUUAGCCUGCUUUAAUUGAUUCUAGCAGCUUCUUGAUUGGCUGCAGGUGUUCUAAUCAGCCUGUCUGUCUUAAUUGUCUCCAGAAGGUUCCUGAUUGUUCUGGAACCUUCCCUGUUACCUUACCCAGGGAAAAGGGACCGACUUAACCUGGGGCUAAUAUAUCUACCUUCUAUUACUCUCCUGUAGCCAUCCAGCCGGACCCUGUCACACAUAUUAAUCUUAACUUCUAUCAAAAUAUUUGCUUAUUUUACGACUGAAGUUAACAUAAAAGAGCUAAAUCUUACCCAGCCUCCAGCAAGUGCCAUUUUGUAGGACAGAAAGCAAAGUGAGCUAAGUCCUAUCUUCUCACAAACACAGACACGCAUGCCUGCCAAGUUCUCAUCACAGACCCCAUGUUUGCAGCAGGCUGUCUUCCACAAUCGAUGCCCCUUCCUACCCAAACAGGAAGCUUCUCUCCUGAAGAGCCAGAAUUCCAGCUGACAUCACCCCUGAAUUCUGCAAAGCCAUUGCCUACCUUUCUCUCCACAACAAGUACAUAUAGCUACAUCACCCUACACACACAACUGCUCCCCAACUGCAGCAUGUGUGAGGUGGGAUUCAAGUUUAAGCAUAAUAAGUUUUCGGCCUCAGUGGGGAAGGGACAGCAGCUCUGAAAUACAGAGAUGUACACUUUGAGAAAGACUGAGGUGUGGCCAGAACAGUAAGGGAGGGAGGUGGUGGUGAACAGGUAAGACCACCAAUUUUGCUCUGUCUGGUAAGACAGAAGUUGCUUGGAGAGAUGGUUAGAGUUAUCCACAGCUAUGAGAAGCAGAGCAGUCAACGCAAAGUGAACAGUCAGAUUAAAACCUAUUUGUUCAACAGUUUCACAGACCACUUUGAUGUAUAAAAAUGUCCUCCUCUGAUGAGGCUAAAUGGAGAAAGACUGCAAAUUUAGAUGUUAUGGUCUGCAUAGAUACUAUUCCUUUUCCUGUUACUUUAGACAUUCUAAAUUUAAAAAAAAAGUAGGAACCUCUGUUAUCUCCAUCUGUCAUCCCACUUCACAGACAACCUUCUUUCUGCUGUACGUGUCCCAGAGGAUAGACAGGAACUGUUUUGGCAACUGUAAUUUAAUUUAACAGGAAAAGAGAGAAUAAUUUCUAUUAAGGGUAUGUUUCCACUGCAGAGUUAACCUGCAUGACUGGUCCAUGGUUGUGAGCAUCCGGGUUGACCUAGCCUGGGUGUGAGCAGCCACAUUGAAAAGCCGUAUUUCAAUUCCUCCAUCCACACUGGCAUUGCACUCACUGAAGUGUGGUGUUGGCACUUGAGGGGCAUAGCCCAUGGCUCUUAGAACUGUUGUAAGGCUAGCCACUCUAGAAUUCUCUUAGUGAACUGUGGCAGAACUUUGUCCUUCUGGGCACAAGGGGGAAUUGGGGGAAGGCACUGAAGGACUAUCAGCACUCAAAUGGUUUAGCCUUCUUGCUUACUGCAAAAUGGGCAGUUUAUCAAUCAGUUCAAGUGUAAGGAGCAUGCAGGCUUUAGCUUAUACCCAGGAUAGGCUAGCUAGCGCAGUUUAAAAGCAGCAAACUUGGGUCAGAGGUUGUGUGUGUGGACAGGAGCUGGGUUAGGCACAACACCCUAGUAAGAGUCCAGUUUAAUUAAACUUCACUCCUACCAGGUAAAAAUGCAAUGGAAAUCUGUGCUCUAUAAUUCAACAA